Molecule: RNA transcript, 1041 nt
Organism: Cebus imitator (Panamanian white-faced capuchin)
Lineage: Eukaryota; Metazoa; Chordata; Mammalia; Primates; Cebidae
Exons: 3
Source: RefSeq, a predicted model, not a curated record
CGCCCCUCCGACAGCCCCGCCCAGCUGAAUGUAUCCGCCGCCUGCCAGAGAGGGCAGCUCUGGUAACCCGCAGCCCGGCUGAGGCAGGCGUGAGGGUAUGAAUGCAGAGGCACACGCAAAAACAUACGUGCUCCGAAUUGCCGAGCUGCAGCAAAUAGUUUCUCCCCAGGAUGGGAUGGAGGCGAAGCAGAUGGGUCUCCACACACCCUUAGCAUGCGCCGGGGAAAGGGAGAGCCACGGGGAGACGUACAGCACCCGCCCGGAGACAGUCCUUCCCAGACCCGAGGUGUGCAGAAAUUGGGGGAGGGGAGAAAUGGAGACCCCAGGACGGGAAUGGAGAGCAAAUGGGCGCAUGAUGACCCACAAGAGGCGCGCAUGGGUAGAGAUGGACCAGAGAGGACGAUGUGGCGGGGGGAAGUGCGCGAGAGGAGACGGAGCAGGUCUCAGAACACGGAUGGGGAGCAGCGGACACCUGUCAGGAUGACGUCAGCACAGCCGGGCCAGGACUGACGGGGCCGCCGGCCAAUCAGCCUCUUCCAUGCACAGGUCCCUGCUGCGUGCCCUGUGGGAACGGUGAAGUAAAACCCGCAGUCUGAGCCUGAGAAACCCUGGCGUUUGUAGCCCAGGUCUGCGAGGAAGCCGCAGGGCGGUCGGCAGGGCGGCAGCGGGGCUGGGGGACCCGAGGAGGGGUCGGACAUCCUGCACGCCUCGCGCGCGCACCUGUCGGAACGGGCCGCCUCUUCCUGCCUACCUGCCCUGCCUCCCUCGCCCCGAAUUUCACCUUAAACCGUGAUGAACCAAACCCAGUGGAUCCUGAAGCCUGGGACGAUGGAUGGCAGGUUCGAGAGAGAAGUGGGCAGCUGGGGGUGGGGCACACGAUUAUUUGGGCGCCCCCACCCCACCCCCACAGAAAUACAUCUGGAAAGCGUGGGCUGUCCUAAGGGCUGGGACUGGGGGUGAUGGUCUCAUCGAUGACUCAGAGGGAGAGAAAACCCUCUGCGUCCCAAGCCAAAGAGAAUAAAAUUCUCCAGUAUAGCCAAC